CAGGUGGUGCAUGGUUGUCGUCAGCUCGUGUCGUGAGAUGUUGGGUUAAGUCCCGCAACGAGCGCAACCCUUAUUGUUAGUUGCCAUCAUUUAGUUGGGCACUCUAGCGAGACUGCCGGUGACAAACCGGAGGAAGGUGGGGAUGACGUCAAAUCAUCAUGCCCCUUAUGACCUGGGCUACACACGUGCUACAAUGGGAAGUACAACGAGUCGCUAGACCGCGAGGUCAUGCAAAUCUCUUAAAGCUUCUCUCAGUUCGGAUUGCAGGCUGCAACUCGCCUGCAUGAAGCCGGAAUCGCUAGUAAUCGCGGAUCAGCACGCCGCGGUGAAUACGUUCCCGGGCCUUGUACACACCGCCCGUCACACCACGAGAGUUUGUAACACCCGAAGUCGGUGAGGUAACCUUUUUGGAGCCAGCCGCCUAAGGUGGGAUAGAUGAUUGGGGUGAAGUCGUAACAAGGUAGCCGUAUCGGAAGGUGCGGCUGGAUCACCUCCUUU
RNAcentral lists this ribosomal RNA (498 nucleotides) under Enterococcus faecalis. RNAcentral describes it as "bacterial SSU rRNA". It matches the Rfam family "Bacterial small subunit ribosomal RNA", at positions 1035 to 1533 of the family's 1533-position model. Lineage: Bacteria; Bacillati; Bacillota; Bacilli; Lactobacillales; Enterococcaceae. The record is from RNAcentral.